Molecule: non-coding RNA, 31 nt
Filed under: Rattus norvegicus (Norway rat)
Lineage: Eukaryota; Metazoa; Chordata; Mammalia; Rodentia; Muridae
Source: RNAcentral
UCCUGAUGUGCUUCUUGGUUAUCUCUACAGU